RNAcentral lists this non-coding RNA (29 nucleotides) under Homo sapiens (human). Lineage: Eukaryota; Metazoa; Chordata; Mammalia; Primates; Hominidae. The record is from RNAcentral.
UAAAAGGGCUAGAGCUAGGUUCAAUGUAC